Molecule: long non-coding RNA, 2602 nt
Organism: Tribolium castaneum (red flour beetle)
Lineage: Eukaryota; Metazoa; Arthropoda; Insecta; Coleoptera; Tenebrionidae
Exons: 2
Source: RefSeq, a predicted model, not a curated record
CAAAGUUUAUUACGUUGCCCAUAAACUUUUGCUAUUAUCCCACGAAGAAAUUCACCAGAUUGUGGAAUAAAAAUUUUACAACAUGUAUUAACAAACUCCGGGUGACAUAAUGAAGGUCAUACUUACAAACGUCCAAUGUUUCGUUGUUUGGGCUAAAACGAAAGCUCUGUAAUGCGAAAUGUACAUGGAACGUUAAAAUUAAAUAAUAUGUUUUAAUCCAUUUCGGGAGAAGCGACAAUAGUUCGGAGCAACAAAGAAACAAGCUUUCGGGGACGAUUUUUCAUCAGUGUUUUGAAAUUGUAAAAGGGUGUUAUUUUGAAAUUAGGAGCGUUGUUUCAAUUCGUCCCUUCUGGGUAUUGUGUGACGAGGGAAAACUACUUGACCCGGAAUUGCCCCAAGUAGCGGAACAGUUUUUUUAAAUAAAACAAAUCGGGUUUAUUGCACAAUUUUUUAUUAAAUAAAAUUUUCAGAUACUACAUAAAAUUGGACAAAUACUUAUCUCCUAACAUGACAAUCAUCUGAGAGACAUUUGAAAUUUUACAUUUGCUCAUCCAUGAUAUUCUGCGAAUAUCUUAUCCGCCUCACCCCGUUGUGGGUGUGCGUAUUUCUCAUCACAGACACCGAUCUGACAGGUAACUGGUGAUUGCAAGUGGUGUAUUUGCUGCAAUUCUUGCGCUUCAUGCUGAUGUAGGUUGUGCACGUGUUAUUUCUCUGUAAAGAUGUACUCUCCGUACCUUCCAUACCUGCAACAAACACCUAUACAAUACACAUAAGAGAGAAUCCUGCUUAACAAGAUUCAGAACAUGAACUAUUUUUAUCGGAACUUCCCGACCGAGCAAGAAUACGCUUUCUAUCACUCGUGUCUGAGGAGAAAACUCGAAAAUUCAUCGGACAAUCAUUGAAAUUGUUAAAAUGAGCUUCCCAGUCCUGAGUUGUAAACCAGGAAAAUAUGUGUACUCCAGUAAAUGAUUGCCUGAAGUGGAGAUUGCAAAUAUUUUACAUCUAAGCAAACUUGGUUUGACAAAGCGAUAUUUUCUGGUGAAAUAUCGGAAACAUUAGUUUUGGGAGCUAGGUACUUUAAUUUAUAAGAGUCAAUUUCAUAUAGUCAUUAAUAGCAGCAAGAAAUUAAGUUUGUUUGCAACACAAAAAUUUAUGGUUAAUUUAAGAUGAGUUAUAAUGGCCAUAUUUAUAGCAGAUUCGAUAUUAACGUCAAACUUGAGGUGCUUUGAAAGAAAGUUGGUAAAUACAUAUUUAUGCACCAGUGGUAGGAAAACAAUUUGUUAGAAAUAGACGACGGUAUAAUAAAGAAACGCAUUUUUCUAAUUAAAACAACACUGGCAGGAGGUCAUGUUUAACCCACAUGCAAAUUACACACCACAUCCAUUAGAAAAGCUCAUUUCUCUAAUUCAAUACGAUUUUAGUCUUUUUAUAAAAGAGGUGUUGCAAACAAAAAUUCUUGCCGCAUCCGCCUUUGUUUCCUCCUGUAAUUAAUUCCUCCGACUUUUAUGUUUCGUUUUAAACAAACAGUAAAAAAUAAUCUUUGUCGAAAUUAAAAUUAAUUGUUAUGAGGCGGCCAAUUAUACAAAUUACUUUUACAGUUUGUCCUUCUCCGAGGUAAUAAAUUUUUUGCCCUUUCAGCUCCGGCUGCAUCAUUCAUUUAAAAUUGUUAUAGAGCAAAAUUAGCAAGUUGGACAACGGGCUAGGAGAGCAAACGUAGGCAGAAAAUUAAUUUCAAUAUUGGGUCCUCACCUGCAUGUGAGAAUCUUGCUGAUGUCGUUAAUGGAGUUACACAUCUACGGAGGCAAGGGAUGGACAUCAUAACUUGAAGGAAACCAUUUCGAAAUCGUGCAUUCAUGUAGCAGUAUAUUAUUGGAUUGUAACAAGCGUGGGACAUUGCCAGACCAUGUAAUGGGAAGUACAAAUAUACCAUGACACUGCCACUGAUGUGCUCCUUGAAGAUCUGAAAAAACACAAUUUUCCGGGAUUGUGCUCUUGCAGGAAUGUUUGCAAGAGUAAACGACUCUCAGCAUAACAUCCUUUCUCAAUUUUUUCAACUGAAAACCAGUUUCUUGUGUGCAGUUUGGAUAAGCACUGCUUAAGCUAUCCUUCAGAGGCUGAGUAAUUUCAAAUCAAGGUGCACACAAACCCUCAGUCAAUGUAAAAACGACUGCAAAGGCGAUUUUAAUCAUAAAAUGCUGACUUUUGUCUGAAACGUGUUACAAAUUUAAUUUCUUCAGCAGCGAGACAUUAAAACUUUACGAUAGUGGAUUAAAAACCUGCAGUAAUUUACGUAUUAUUACGAACUGAAAACUACCCAGGACAAUUUGUUAUAUUUUUCGAAGAAAAGCUACAAUCAUCUAGUUUUUGCAAGAGAACGGGCAUUGUUUCACCUGAAAGAGACGCUAUGAAAAUAUAAACCAGUAAAAAACUUUUUGUCCGCCGCUAUAAAGUGUGGCCUUUCUAAAAUUUACAAAACGUGAAAUGUAACAUUUAUAAGCCGCAGGAACACGCGAAUGGAGCCUUUUUCUUAUACGUUUCCUGGAGCAGGACCCAGAAUUUUAUUACAUGUACACGGAAAUCAAUAAAAUUUAUUGCACACUUA